GAUGAACGCUGGCGGCGUGCUUAACACAUGCAAGUCGAACGAGAAGUGGAGACGGAAACCUUCGGGCGGAAGACUUUAUUUCGAGUGGCGGACGGGUGAGUAACGCGUGGGUAACCUGCCUCAUACAGGGGGAUAACAGUUGGAAACGACUGUUAAUACCGCAUAAGACCACAGCACCGCAUGGUGCGGGGGUAAAAACUCCGGUGGUAUGAGAUGGACCCGCGUUCAAUUAGCCAGUUGGCGGGGUAACGGCCCACCAAAGCGACGAUCGAUAGCCGAUCUGAGAGGAUGACCGGCCACAUUGGGACUGAGACACGGCCCAAACUCCUACGGGAGGCAGCAGUGGGGAAUAUUGCACAAUGGGGGAAACCCUGAUGCAGCGACGCCGCGUGAGUGAAGAAGUAUUUCGGUAUGUAAAGCUCUAUCAGCAGGGAAGAAAAUGACGGUACCUGAGUAAGAAGCCCCGGCUAACUACGUG
RNAcentral lists this ribosomal RNA (478 nucleotides) under uncultured bacterium. RNAcentral describes it as "partial 16S ribosomal RNA". It matches the Rfam family "Bacterial small subunit ribosomal RNA", at positions 28 to 507 of the family's 1533-position model. The record is from RNAcentral.